This is a non-coding RNA of Ixodes scapularis (black-legged tick), 74 nucleotides long. The record is from the annotation of a RefSeq genome assembly. Lineage: Eukaryota; Metazoa; Arthropoda; Arachnida; Ixodida; Ixodidae.
UCCGGCGUAGUCUAGUGGCUAUAGGAUACCUGGCUUUCACCCAGGAGGCCUGGGUUCGAUUCCCGGCGUCGGAA